RNAcentral lists this ribosomal RNA (1296 nucleotides) under Triticum aestivum (bread wheat). RNAcentral's name for it is "partial small subunit ribosomal RNA". The record is from RNAcentral. Lineage: Eukaryota; Viridiplantae; Streptophyta; Magnoliopsida; Poales; Poaceae.
AUGACCAAGAGAGCCAGGGCGCCGGAGCACGCCCACCGCAAACUCCGGGCGGAGCUCCUCUGCCGCGCUCCCGUGGCACUGGAGCCCUGCCACCGCUACCUCCCGCUGCAGCUCCUCUGCGGCGNNNNNNNNNNNNNNNNNNCUCGUCCUUCCAGAAGUCCAAGGCCAAGAAAUCCAGGGCGCCGGAGCACGCCCACCGCUGCCUCCGGCCGGAGCUCCUCUGCCGCGCUCCCGUGGCACUGGAGCCCUGCCACCGCUACCUCCCGCUGCAGCUCCUCUGCGGCGAGCCCAUGGCGCCGUCGCCCUCGUCCUUCCAGAAGUCCAAGGCCAAGAAAUCCAGGGCGCCGGAGCACGCCCACCGCUGCCUCCGGCCGAAGCUCCUCUGCCGCGCUCCCGUGGCACUGGAGCCCUGCCACCGCUACCUCCCGCUGCAGCUCCUCUGCGGCGCGCCCGUGGCGGCGUCCUGCCACCGCUACCUCCCGCCGGCGUGGAGACGAUCACGACGCUGCAGUCCGACCCGUCGCCGGCGAUGAAGCUCACUUACCAAGUCACCAAGACGAAGAACAUGAAGUUCCAGAAAAGCCUUUACCGGAUGCUGGCGUCCAGCGGGAGGGAGGUGGAAAACGUUCCCGAGCUGGCUCCCUAGACGGGCGACAAGAAGCAGCCGCCGUUGUGGUCUUGUGGAUCCUGAUCACCAUCGAAGGCAAGACGCCGAAGGAGGCGGUAGUUCUCGCUGUGCGGACCGACAAUGUGUACAUUGUCGGUUUCAAGAAUGCGGCUGGAGUCUGGUACGCCUUCCCCAAGUACAAAGACCUGAUCAAAGGUUCGACGCCGCUCCCCAAGGCGCAGGACUACGGCAGCCUCGUCGGGGGCCAUGAGAAGCUUAAGGACCUCGACAGCGACAGCGACGCCGUCGCGCAAGACGUUCGGUUCCUGUCGACGUUCACGCCCCCGCCCCGGCCCAACCCGACAUACGAAGCCACGCUCGGCACCAGCCUGGCCAGGCUGUGCCUCGUGGUCGCCGAGGCGGCGAGGUUCAACACGAUCAAUGCCACGGUGGUGGCGGCGAUGGAUGAGAAAGGCCCGAGCCGGAUCACCCUACAGCAGACGAAACUCAUCGUCGUUUGGGGCGUGACGUCCAAGGCGCUGCUUGAUUGGAAGAAGGAACAAGUAUGGCAGCCGGAAAGAAAGGCGGACGUAGAAAAAGAGGGCAUCCACGGCGCACAAGAUGCCGUUAGCGCGCUCAAGGUUAUCCUUAUGCCCAUUGGGUACAAACGGGAGGCUGAGGAAGAUUAA